UACAGAGGGUGCAAGCGUUAAUCGGAAUUACUGGGCGUAAAGCGUGCGUAGACGGUUACAUAAGUCGGGUGUGAAAGCCCCGGGCUCAACCUGGGAAUUGCAUUCGAGACUGCGUAGCUAGGGUGCGGAAGAGGGAAGCGGAAUUUACGGUGUAGCAGUGAAAUGCGUAGAUAUCGUAAGGAAGACCAGUGGCGAAGGCGAAUCUCUGGACAGUUACUGACACUGAGGCACGAAGGCCAGGGGAGCAAACGGG
Molecule: ribosomal RNA, 253 nt
Filed under: uncultured bacterium
Lineage: Bacteria
Description: partial 16S ribosomal RNA
Rfam family: Bacterial small subunit ribosomal RNA
Source: RNAcentral